AAGCGCUGUAUGUUUUUCAGACUAUUGGCUAACGUUAGGUCUGUCAGUAUGAUGACGGGGAUGUUUAGACUACGUUUAAUAUUUUACGGUCGUAAGUGUAAACAAAUGUUUCUUAAAACGCAGAAGAGGCAGCUGGUGGUAUGCUCUGCUGUUUGUAACGUAACCGCUCUCUGUAUCACUCUCAACAGGACAGGUAAAUUAAUUAAAUUACAAAAUAAGACUGAUACACUGCCAAACAACUAACAGUCUUCACAGAUCAAUCACAGACAUUCCAAUGGAUUUAAUGGUUACAGUGGAAACUGUCUGUAUUGGUUUUAAAUAAAGGUGUGGUGUAAUGGUUUCUGAUGGUCUCUAAGUUACCACCCAAAAAAAAAAAACACGCAUAGGAAAAAAAGAACGACAGAAAGAACGGCUCCCUCCAUCCGAGACUCGGCGCCCAUCGUUCAUGUUUUUGAGCCGUUCAAAAGAAUCGAACGUCACAACUCUAGUUAGCAUCUCGACCGUUUUCUGAAGAGGAGUGACCAUAUAACCCCUCUAUAAAGAAUAGAAGCUCAAGAUUUUAGCAUUUGUAAAGGGAGCAGCUGCUCACAGAGAUGUUGAAUGAAAACUUAGAUUUCUUCAUGCUGAUGGCCAUCAGCAAAGUUCAAGCAGACCUGUCAGAAAACACCUCUAAGGUGAACCAUAUAGCUAGCGGGGUGCAUGAUCUCUGAAAGCCAAUGUUGACAUUUGAAAUCACCUAAACAAGCACACCCCUACCCCAAUAGAAUCUGGACCUUCUGUUGAUAGACUCACCCGCCCCACACAUAUGCAACAAUUCUGGUUAGUAGACAUGCCCCUUCCUGCUGAUUGGCUACAAGUGUGUUUUGGUACUCGGACUGACUCCCUUUUCCAAAGUGUUUUUCAAAAAUCAUGCACCCCGCCUUUAAAGAUACUAUUGCAUAUGUAGUUUGUUCCAUAGAGACUGUGUCGGGUCCCCCAAUAAUGAGGCCAAAUUUACUAAGGGAUCCAAAAAAAUCUGAUAGUGAUUGAACCAGAUAAUUGCUAAAUAAGGUCACAGAACUCUUGGUAGUACCCAGAAUGUCAAAGGCAUUCACAUAACACAACUUAUAACCUUGUUCUGAACGAAAAGGUAUAAAGUACACAUGAUCAUCUUUUGCUUGAAAUACUAUGAACAGCAGCUAUGCUAAUCCUUCUCCUUUUGAUUUCCUGUUUCUACAUAUCGGGAUACCCAUACAGGUUACAGAAGCUCCAGUAUGGAUCCAGCCUCACUUGUGAAGACUUCAGAUGACUCCAACACUCACAGAGACUUCAGAUGAUGGCAACUAAAGAUGGACAUACAAAACUGCCAAACGCUACCAAACGCAACCCACUUAAAUUUUACAAUAAAUGACAAGACUUAAGCCUAGUCCUGGACCAAGACAUGCGUUUGAGCUGUCUCAAGAUACAAACAACCAGUGAGGGCUCAUGACUGCUUUUCCAGGGGUCGCAUAUUCAAAAUAUGUGUUCGGAGUAUCAUUUGUAUUGCUUGUGUUUUCAAAAUAUGUGUUUGUUGCAUCAUGUGAACCAUGUGCAUCACGUGUUUUGUCAAAAUAAGUGGCUGCUGCAAACGCAUCAAACCCGUUUAUGAUAAAAGAGACACUCACAUUCACAAAAUACACGCAAGACACUCCCUUAACAGUAAACUCUGAUUACGCAUGAGAUUAUGUGAGUAUCUGGCAAACGCAUGCUUCUCUUUUAUCAUAAACCCUUUAGAGGCGUCUGCAGCAGGCACUUAUUUUGACAAGGCACACAAUGCACACAACUUUACUUCGACGCGCAUAAGACAACACUUAUUUUGAAAUUACGAACCACACACAUGACAGGCUAUGUUGUUACAAACUUCGCAUCAUGCGCACUCAAAAAAAAAAGCUAAUAAAGAAGCUUAAACCAGUGGUUCUCAAACUGGGGGCCGUGGCCCUAGGGGGCCCUGAGAUUCUUUGUAAUUAAACUUCAGAAAAAUAAACCAAUUAACCAACAGCACCACAUUGUAUAAUUAAAUAUGUUUUGUUUAAUAAAAAUUUAAAUUUUUUGCAAUGUUUUAUGUCAUACAAUUUCUUUUGGGGGCCAUAAAGGGAUGCACCGUACACAAGGGGGGCACAAACUGAAUAAGUUUGAGAACCACUGGCUUAAACAUCUAAAUUGAACUAAAUUAAGGCAGUUGAAUUAAAAGAUUAAAUUCGGUAUACACUUAAUGGUGGUUUCCUGAACAGGGAUUAGCUUAAACCAGGACUAGGUCUUAGUUUAAUUAGGAAACUAGUUUUAACAAACAUCCCUUCCUUACUAAAAACAUUACUUCUGUGCAUUUUCAGGCAUAACAAAGGGCACUGUUUUUUUAAAAUAUGUCCCUGUACGGGAAACUGCCCCUUUAUUAUUAAAACAUACAAUGUAAGGGCAAGCAGAUUGGCCAAGAAAAUAAAUAAAAUGCUUUAAAUUACAGUUUGCGUGACCAUAAUAGAAAUAUAGUGAUGAUAUAUUGUUUGA
Paramisgurnus dabryanus is the source of this 2520-nucleotide long non-coding RNA. RefSeq lists it as uncharacterized. NCBI's taxonomy places the organism in Eukaryota, Metazoa, Chordata, Actinopteri, Cypriniformes, Cobitidae. The record is from RefSeq and is a predicted model, not a curated record.